CCUACGGGCGGCAGCAGUGAGGAAUAUUGGUCAAUGGACGAGAGUCUGAACCAGCCAAGUAGCGUGAAGGAUGAAUGCCCUAUGGGUUGUAAACUUCUUUUAUAUGGGAAUAAAAUGUUCCACGUGUGGGAUUUUGUAUGUACCAUAUGAAUAAGGAUCGGCGAACUCAGUGCCAGCAGCCGCGGUAAUACGGAGGAGCCGAGCGUUAUCCGGAUUUAUUGGGUUUAAAGUGAGCGUAGGUGGAUUGUUAAGUCAGUUGUGAAAGUUUGCGGCUCAACCGUAAAAUUGCAGUUGAAACUGGCAGUCUUGAGUACAGUAGAGGAGGGCGGAAUUCGUGGUGUAGCAGUGAAAUGCUUAGAUAUCACGAAGAACUCCGAUUGCGAAGGCGACUCACUGGACUGCAACUGACACUGAGGCUCGAAAGUGUGGGUAUCAAACAGGAUUAGAUACCCUUGUAGUC
RNAcentral lists this ribosomal RNA (460 nucleotides) under uncultured bacterium. Its description in RNAcentral is "partial 16S ribosomal RNA". It matches the Rfam family "Bacterial small subunit ribosomal RNA", at positions 338 to 795 of the family's 1533-position model. The record is from RNAcentral.